RNAcentral lists this ribosomal RNA (252 nucleotides) under uncultured bacterium. Its description in RNAcentral is "partial 16S ribosomal RNA". It matches the Rfam family "Bacterial small subunit ribosomal RNA", at positions 524 to 776 of the family's 1533-position model. The record is from RNAcentral.
UACGUAGGGUGCAAGCGUUAAUCGGAAUUACUGGGCGUAAAGCGUGCGCAGGCGGUUGUAUAAGACAGAUGUGAAAUCCCCGGGCUCAACCUGGGAACUGCAUUUGUGACUGUACGGCUAGAGUGUGUCAGAGGGGGUGGAAUUCCACGUGUAGCAGUGAAAUGCGUAGAUAUGUGGAGGAACACCAAUGGCGAAGGCAGCCCCCUGGGAUAACACUGACGCUCAUGCACGAAAGCGUGGGGAGCAAACAGG